RNAcentral lists this ribosomal RNA (426 nucleotides) under uncultured bacterium. Its description in RNAcentral is "bacterial SSU rRNA". It matches the Rfam family "Bacterial small subunit ribosomal RNA", at positions 355 to 774 of the family's 1533-position model. The record is from RNAcentral.
UGGGGAAUUUUGGACAAUGGGCGCAAGCCUGAUCCAGCCAUGCCGCGUGCAGGAUGAAGGCCUUCGGGUUGUAAACUGCUUUUGUACGGAACGAAAAGGUGCCUUCUAAUAAAGGGCGCUCAUGACGGUACCGUAGAAUAAGCACCGGCUAACUACGUGCCAGCAGCCGCGGUAAUACGUAGGGUGCGAGCGUUAAUCGGAAUUACUGGGCGUAAAGCGUGCGCAGGCGGUUUUGUAAGACAGAGGUGAAAUCCCCGGGCUCAACCUGGGAACUGCCUUUGUGACUGCAAGGCUGGAGUGCGGCAGAGGGGGAUGGAAUUCCGCGUGUAGCAGUGAAAUGCGUAGAUAUGCGGAGGAACACCGAUGGCGAAGGCAAUCCCCUGGGCCUGCACUGACGCUCAUGCACGAAAGCGUGGGGAGCAAACA